GAUCCGAAAAGGUUAGAAAUGGAUUUGAGAUGAAUAGUGCAAGAGAGUACUUCCUUAAAGUCUGACGAAACGAAGGUUCCAUCUUUCCCGGGAAAAUAGUGAGAGGAGAGAGAGACAAUGACAUCAACAGCUGCAACACCGCCUUACCCGAGUGCGGCCAGGAUCGCCGAUUUCCUGUGCUUCCCACAAUACACGGCCUCUCUCAAAUGUCUGGAAGAAUACGGCUCCGACAAGAGUAAAUGCCAAGAACAAGAAAAAGGAGAGGGAAGCUCAUUUGGAACGUAACAAGAGUCGGUCUUUUUUCUGCUGAAAUCCCUCUUGAGAUUUUCUUCCAUGUUCAUGAAGGUGAAGUUAUGAGUUAAUAGGGUUAACUGAUACUAGACUCAGAAUCUGUAUAUCGGGAGACCAUUUUAUGGAGCAUUGAAAUAUUUUAGGGAUGUUUUCUGUUUGUGUGGAAUAAUAACGACUGUGUUCAACUCAGCUAUGGUAUACAUCUUGAGUUUCCGUUGAA
This is a long non-coding RNA of Hibiscus syriacus, 511 nucleotides long. RefSeq lists it as uncharacterized. The transcript is spliced from 3 exons. Lineage: Eukaryota; Viridiplantae; Streptophyta; Magnoliopsida; Malvales; Malvaceae. The record is from RefSeq and is a predicted model, not a curated record.